UCCAUAAGGUCAUGGCAGCUGUCCUAAAAAUCUAUUUAUAUACACAUCAUCUUCCGAUGCUUACCACAAUCAGCUAAUCCCACACUCUCUUUUCUCUACCUACAAAAAAAAAAAAAUCAUCUAAGUUCUAACCAUGAAUCACCAACAACAAUCUCCUGCAGUGACUGCAUAUCCAGCAGGGGCUCAGAGCAACCUAGCAGCUCCACCACCACCUGUAGGUUAUCCCACUAAGGAUGAUCUUCCUUCCCAACAAAAUGUUCCUGUCAAAACCACUACCAGGGGUGAUGGCUUCUGGAAGGGAUGUUGUGCGGGAUUGUGCUGUUGCUGUGCCCUGGAUUGUUGUCUCUGAUUGAACAUCCCUGCAGUACUUUAUGGAUUUGAGCUUGUUCUCUCUGUCUUUUGUUAUUUUCUUUAGCAGAUUAAUUUUGUAUUUGUCUACGCUAAUAAGGAUAUUUGUGUCCUAAGGGACAGCAAAAUGUAUUUAUGUGACGGAAUUUUGUAUCUUGUUGAUCUUUUUGUACUUUGUGGAAGGUAACUAAUCACAAGGACCAUUAUUGCAAUUAGAAACCAUAACGCCUCCCAAGUUUUAUUGUGUUCA
Glycine soja is the source of this 598-nucleotide long non-coding RNA. RefSeq lists it as uncharacterized. Lineage: Eukaryota; Viridiplantae; Streptophyta; Magnoliopsida; Fabales; Fabaceae. The transcript is spliced from 3 exons. The record is from RefSeq and is a predicted model, not a curated record.